AUUGGCGGUCAUACCGCAAGGGAAACACCCGGUCUCAUCCCGAACCCGGAAGUUAAGCCNNUGCGAAAAGCAGUCUUUUUUUGCUGCACAAA
Molecule: ribosomal RNA, 92 nt
Filed under: Candidatus Iainarchaeum sp.
Lineage: Archaea; Nanobdellati; Candidatus Iainarchaeota; Candidatus Iainarchaeia; Candidatus Iainarchaeales; Candidatus Iainarchaeaceae
Source: RNAcentral